This is a long non-coding RNA of Panicum virgatum (switchgrass), 1349 nucleotides long. RefSeq lists it as uncharacterized. NCBI's taxonomy places the organism in Eukaryota, Viridiplantae, Streptophyta, Magnoliopsida, Poales, Poaceae. The transcript is spliced from 4 exons. The record is from RefSeq and is a predicted model, not a curated record.
CCUAAUCCCCUCAUCUCCCUCUCUACAGCCGCCACCCCCUUCUCUCCCGUGCACAGCCGCCGCCUCCUCUUUCUUCCUCCCGAGCGCCGCCUCCAGCCGGCUCCCCCUACAGCCGCCGCUUCCACCGCCCCUGCCUCUCCCCUGCACGCCGCACUCCUCGUCGCCUGCGCGCCGCAUGGCCGGUGCUCGGCCGCCGCCCUCGCCAAGCCCGACGCGCCGCCGGCCCCUGCGCAGCAGCCGGUCGCCGCCCAUGCGCGCGCUCUGCGUGGCCGCCGGAUCGAGGAGGCCUGGCUGCUCGCAAGCUCUCCAGGCGGCAGCACGGACUCUUCUUCCCUGAGCAGGGGAAGAUCCUCACGCUACCUGUGCUCAGGGCGAACAGCGGCGGGCUCAUCGUCAAGUUCAACUCCCUGCAGGGGUUCGUGCCCAACCCUCUCCUCAGCCCCGCGCACUGGUGCAGAGACCCAAAAAGGCCCAUCCAAGAUGUUAGCAAGGACCUAGUAGCAACGUCCAUUUCUGUCAAGGUAAUUAAGUUUUCUUUGAUUGUUCCAUGGCACCAUCAAUUUGCUGUUGGGUGUGGCUAUUUUUGUUGUAACCUAUUAGGAGGAAAAUGAAGGUUAGGUUUCUUGCGCGAGCUGGGAGGCAGGUUAGGUUUCUUCUGAUACUGCACUUGAUUUCUUUUAUUUUCUUUUCUUUUCUUUUCUGAGGAUUUCAUUAUGCUAGCAUUUGGCCUGUUGGCUGGCUCAGUGCCAAUGCCAACUAGAUAGAAGUACAAGAAUUGUGAUUCCUUCCUAUUACUUGGCAGGUCCAGGAAGUGUAUUUGACAUCUUCCCUAGACCAGGAGGGCAUAAAGAAGGCUGUGCAAAGAGUGCUAGGGCGUGUUCCUUGAGUCUGACACACAGCAAGUAAGUAGAAACAAAGGGUGCUGCUGAUGAUAACUUCUUUGCAAGCGUUCAGUCUAUUGCAGUGUGCCUCUGGUGAUUUAAAAGGUUAAAGAACUGGCAGUUAGAAUAGAAGAGAAGCCUCACAGAGAAAAAAUCAUUGCUAGCCAAAUGUGCUGCCACAACACUCAUCAAAACUGAUGUGGUGAUGAAAAAGAAUUCUUUGCUUCCUUAAUUGCUGCUGCUGGUUCAUACUCCUGAUGAAACCUAUCUUUUGUUGUCUCUGCUCUAUUUUGUUUGUCUUUUUUCCUGUAAUGUUAGGCUGCUAGUUUUGAUACAUGGAAAAAACCUUUAUGUGAUCCAUUAUUCUGAUGUCAUGAUGUUGGGGUGCAAACAUUAUUGAUAUGACAUUAUAAUUUUGGAUGUAAUUGCUUAUUGUGACUUUUGUGCUGGAACUUUUGUUUUGUUAAA